GGGAAAAUCAUGGAAACAGAAGUGACAAUAACUAGAUGAUCAGUAAGCCACCAGCCCUAUCUAUUCCCAACCAAAGCCUUGACACCCGAAGACUAACCCAAGAAGAACUUAAGGAAAGAUCAACAAAGGGUUUGUACUAUGAUGAAAGGUGGAGUAUGGAGCACCGAUGUAAACAAGGGCAACAUAUGAUGAUUGAGCC
This 199-nucleotide long non-coding RNA is filed under the name Musa acuminata (dwarf banana). RNAcentral describes it as "long non-coding RNA (MACU_LNC007600)". Lineage: Eukaryota; Viridiplantae; Streptophyta; Magnoliopsida; Zingiberales; Musaceae. The record is from RNAcentral.